RNAcentral lists this ribosomal RNA (373 nucleotides) under uncultured Glomeromycotina. RNAcentral describes it as "LSU rRNA". Lineage: Eukaryota; Fungi; Glomeromycota. The record is from RNAcentral.
UUGAAAGGGAAACGAUUGAAGUCAGUCAUACCAACGGGAAUCAACCUCUUGAGCUCGGUCUCGUGGGUUUUGAAGAGUUUCAAAGCCUUCGGAUUCGCGGGAUUGGGAUCUCCUGGCGUACUUUUUCGUACGGUUAGUCAACAUCGGUUUUGAAUGUCAUAAAAUGAUUGGAGGAAUGUAGCUUCGAUCUCGUAUUGAAGUGUUAUAGCCUUUGUAGAUGUGAUGUUUGAGACCGAGGAUUGCAACGGAUACCCUUCAGGGCUAUUCGUCUGAUCUCUGAUACGUUGCCUUGAUGUUGAAAGUUCGCUUAUGAUGUUAGGGUAUUACGGUCAAAAGGUUAGAGCGAAUUACAUUCGUUAAGGAUGUUGACGUA